This 262-nucleotide unclassified non-coding RNA is filed under the name Hevea brasiliensis (rubber tree). The record is from RNAcentral. Lineage: Eukaryota; Viridiplantae; Streptophyta; Magnoliopsida; Malpighiales; Euphorbiaceae.
CUACAAAUCAUUCAUCUAUAGCAAAUAUGUUGUUCUAUUUGGAUCCCUCAAUAGUCCCAGAGCAUUUAAGUCCAAACUAUUUGGAAGCUAAGAUGGAUAAGGGGAAGGAGAAAAUUGAAGGUGGUGGUGAUCCAUCAAAACCUUUGGUAAAUGCAGAUGACGUUCCUUUGAUACUGUUCCUAAAGCUCUUGAAUCGACCUCUUUUUUUACGCAGCAAUGCACACCUUGAGCAGGUUAUGGGAUUGCUUCAAGUAGUAAUUUA